This 373-nucleotide ribosomal RNA is filed under the name Astraeus hygrometricus. RNAcentral describes it as "eukaryotic LSU rRNA". It matches the Rfam family "Eukaryotic large subunit ribosomal RNA", at positions 8 to 373 of the family's 3401-position model. The record is from RNAcentral. Lineage: Eukaryota; Fungi; Basidiomycota; Agaricomycetes; Boletales; Astraeaceae.
AAAUCAGGCAGGACUACCCGCUGAACUUAAGCAUAUCAAUAAGCGGAGGAAAAGAAACUAACAAGGAUUCCCCUAGUAACUGCGAGUGAACCGGGAAAAGCUCAAAUUUUGAAUCCGGCGGUCUCCGGCCGCCCGAGUUGUAAUCUAGAGAAGCGUCUUCCGCGCUGGACCGUGUACAAGUCUCCUGGAAGGGAGCAUCGUAGAGGGUGACAAUCCCGUCUCCGACACGGACUACCAGGGCUAUGUGAUGCGCUCUCGACGAGUCGAGUUGUUUGGGAAUGCAGCUCAAAUCGGGUGGUAAACUCCAUCUAAAGCUAAAUACAGGCGAGAGACCGAUAGCGAACAAGUACCGUGAGGGAAAGAAUGAAAAAGA